AUUGAACGCUGGCGGCAUGCUUUACACAUGCAAGUCGAACGGCAGCGGGGUAGUGCUUGUACUACUGCCGGCGAGUGGCGAACGGGUGAGUAAUAUAUCGGAACGUACCGAGUAAUGGGGGAUAACCAAUCGCAAGAUUGGCUAAUACCGCAUACGUCCUGAGGGAGAAAGCGGGGGAUCGCAAGACCUCGCGUUAUUCGAGCGGCCGAUAACUGAUUAGCUAGUUGGUGGGGUAAAGGCCUACCAAGGCGACGAUCAGUAGCGGGUCUGAGAGGACGAUCGGCCACACUGGGACUGAGACACGGCCCAGACUGCUACGGGAGGGAGCAGUGGGGAAUUUUGGACAAUGGGGGCAACCCUGAUCCAGCCAUGCCGCGUGUAUGAAGAAGGCCUUCGGGUUGUAAAGUACUUUUGUUAGGGAAGAAAAGGGAAGUGCUAAUACCACUUUUUGCUGACGGUACCUAAAGAAUAAGCACCGGCUAACUACGUG
Molecule: ribosomal RNA, 490 nt
Filed under: uncultured bacterium
Lineage: Bacteria
Description: partial 16S ribosomal RNA
Rfam family: Bacterial small subunit ribosomal RNA
Source: RNAcentral